AUGGAGCCGACCUUGAAAUACCACCCUUUAAUGUUUGAUGUUCUAACGUUGACCCGUAAUCCGGGUUGCGGACAGUGUCUGGUGGGUAGUUUGACUGGGGCGGUCUCCUCCUAAAGAGUAACGGAGGAGCACGAAGGUUGGCUAAUCCUGGUCGGACAUCAGGAGGUUAGUGCAAUGGCAUAAGCCAGCUUGACUGCGAGCGUGACGGCGCGAGCAGGUGCGAAAGCAGGUCAUAGUGAUCCGGUGGUUCUGAAUGGAAGGGCCAUCGCUCAACGGAUAAAAGGUACUCCGGGGAUAACAGGCUGAUACCGCCCAAGAGUUCAUAUCGACGGCGGUGUUUGGCACCUCGAUGUCGGCUCAUCACAUCCUGGGGCUGAAGUAGGUCCCAAGGGUAUGGCUGUUCGCCAUUUAAAGUGGUACGCGAGCUGGGUUUAGAACGUCGUG
This 444-nucleotide ribosomal RNA is filed under the name Escherichia coli. RNAcentral's name for it is "partial 23S ribosomal RNA". It matches the Rfam family "Bacterial large subunit ribosomal RNA", at positions 2180 to 2623 of the family's 2925-position model. The record is from RNAcentral. Lineage: Bacteria; Pseudomonadati; Pseudomonadota; Gammaproteobacteria; Enterobacterales; Enterobacteriaceae.